AGAGUUUGAUCAUGGCUCAGGAUGAACGUUGGCGGCGUGCUUAAUACAUGCAAGUCGAACGAGGAGCCUGGUACUUGUAUCGGGAAUUCCUAGUGGCGAACGGGUGAGUAACGCGUUGGUGAUCUGCCCCGAAGUGAGGAACAACAGUUCGAAAGGACUGCUAAUACCUCAUGUGGUCAUGGAAUUUAGAAACCCAUGUCUAAAGGAUUUAUUCGCUUCGGGAGGAGCCUGCGUCCCAUCAGCUAGUUGGUAAGGUAACGGCCUACCAAGGCGAUGACGGGUAGGGGGCCUGAGAGGGUGGCCCCCCACAAUGGUACUGAAACACGGACCAUACACCUACGGGUGGCAGCAGUAGGGAAUAUUGCCCAAUGGACGAAAGUCUGAGGCAGCAACGCCGCGUGCACGAUGAAGGCCUUCGGGUUGUAAAGUGCUUUUACGUGGGAAGAGGAAGGACGGUACCACGUGAAUAAGGAUCGGCCAACUACGUGCCAGCAGCCGCGGUAACACGUAGGAUUCGAACGUUAUCCGGAUUUAUUGGGCGUAAAGCGCGUGUAGGCGGUUUGGUAAGUUGGAUGUGAAAGCUCCAGGCUCAACCUGGAGAGGUCGUCCAAAACUGCCAGACUAGAGGACGGUAGAGGGAGGUGGAAUUCCAGGUGUAGCGGUGAAAUGCGUAGAUACCUGGAGGAACACCAGUGGCGAAGGCGGCCUCCUGGGCCGUUCCUGACGCUCAGACGCGAAAGCUAGGGGAGCGAACGGGAUUAGAAACCCCGGUAGUCCUAGCCGUAAACGAUGUAGACUUGGUGUUGGUGGUGUAAAAGUCAUCAGUGCCGUAGCUAACGCGAUAAGUCUACCGCCUGGGGAUUACGACCGCAAGGUUAAAACUCAAAGGAAUUGACGG
RNAcentral lists this ribosomal RNA (898 nucleotides) under uncultured bacterium. Its description in RNAcentral is "bacterial SSU rRNA". It matches the Rfam family "Bacterial small subunit ribosomal RNA", at positions 8 to 916 of the family's 1533-position model. The record is from RNAcentral.